This 381-nucleotide ribosomal RNA is filed under the name uncultured eukaryote. RNAcentral's name for it is "partial 18S ribosomal RNA". It matches the Rfam family "Eukaryotic small subunit ribosomal RNA", at positions 592 to 976 of the family's 1831-position model. The record is from RNAcentral.
CAAUAGCGUAUAUUAAAGUUGUUGCGGUUAAAAAGCUCGUAGUUGGAUUUCUGCCGAGGACGACCGGUCCGCCCUCCGGGUGAGUAUCUGGCUCGGCCUGGGCAUCUUCUUGGAAAACGUAACUGCACUUGGCUGUGUGGUGCGGUAUUCAAGACUUUUACUUUGAGGAAAUUGAACUGUUUCAAACAGGCACACGCCUUGAAUACAUUAGCAUGGAAGAAUAAGAUAGGACCUCGGUUCUAUUUUGUUGGUUUCUAGAUCUGAGGUAAUGAUUGAUAGGGAUAAUUGGGGGGCAUUAGUAUUUAACCGUCAAAAGUGAAAUUCUCGGAUUUGUUAAAGACGGACUACUGCGAAAGCAUUUGCCAAGGAUGUUUNCAUUGA